CUCAGAGAUAUGAAAACUUACACAGACUGCCUUCAAACCCAGGGUAUCUAACAGAUGUUCCCUUUCCAGUUCGUCUCUUGAUCUGAAAUGCCUGCCUGAUUCCAACUUGGAUACCACUCUUUCUUGCCCUUCCUUUUUCAAAGCAGUUUGGACAUGUGUGCAAGUGAGCCCAGAACAGCUCCACCCAUAUUCUUUACCAAACUGUAAAUAAAAGAAGAACUAAUGAAGUAGAUUGGCAUAUAGAUUGCAUCAAGAGCCCGAAUCCCCAGUUUCUGGAUUCCCCAUUCAACUCUGGCUGUCAUCUACAUUGACAGAGUCAUUCUAAGCAGAGGCCCAGAGAAACCUGCAUUGUGGGACAACAGUUUUAGGAAGCAUAGGAGGAGAAUGAAAGAAUCAAUCCAGUCUCCUGUUUUCUGGUAAAAACUCUCAUACCUGUGCUGUUGCAAGAAUUCAAGACUAUCUCGUCCAGAAUGCUGUGGUAUUUUUGAAAGGUACAUAUAUCAUAUUCCUUUUCCUCAUACUCCACCCUUUCUGAAUCCACAAGAAUGUGUUAUUGAAUACAGAGAAAACAAUUUAAGAAAGGAAAAGGAAUGACCUGCCUAAAAUGAGGAAAAAGCAGAGUCGAGGUCUAGGAUUGUGGCUCAACAAGAUGAUUCAGUUACUUUCUGGUUAUAAGCAGAUACCUGAAAAUUGUGAAAUUGAUAUAAACCCAGAUCUUCAAAGCAACUGAUGACCAAGGGGACUGUGAUAUAAUAGCCACAUAUUCUUUACCAGUGUUAGGUUUUAGUUAAUAAACAUUACUAUGGAG
RNAcentral lists this long non-coding RNA (808 nucleotides) under Homo sapiens (human). RNAcentral's name for it is "HSALNT0076191". Lineage: Eukaryota; Metazoa; Chordata; Mammalia; Primates; Hominidae. The record is from RNAcentral.